RNAcentral lists this long non-coding RNA (485 nucleotides) under Vigna radiata. RNAcentral describes it as "long non-coding RNA (VRAD_LNC012333)". The record is from RNAcentral. Lineage: Eukaryota; Viridiplantae; Streptophyta; Magnoliopsida; Fabales; Fabaceae.
UCAAAGAGGGUGGAAACCACAGAGAAAAACCAAUUUAGGGCUAACACUAAUGUUAACCCUAAAGAGGGAUGUAAAGUUGUUGUAACUGGAAGCAAGAGGAAAGCAAAGGGGAAGUUGUGGAAAUUGAGAGUAGUGAGGAGGAGGAAGAACAAAAAGAGAUUGUUGAGCUAGAAAACAGUGAGGGAGAAGAAGAGGGAAAGAGAAAAGACAAUUACUGUGAACAGUCCAGAGAGAUUUUUAAUCAAGUAACUGUUGUGUUGGUAUCGGAAGGGUUAAUUUUUAAAAGGAGUUUAGCGCAGCGGAUUAAAAUAUAGAGAGCGUACAGCGUAACAAGUCACAGUUGAAACAAUUUUGCCUUUUUAAGUUAAACGAAUUUCUUUCAGAAAAUUUACCAAGCAGAUAACGUACGUUAAUAAUAAAAUGAGUAUAGGGCAAAAGAAAAUCACACAGGGAUUUUUAUACUGGUUCGAUUCAACAGAAUCUAC